This 357-nucleotide ribosomal RNA is filed under the name Candidatus Falkowbacteria bacterium HGW-Falkowbacteria-1. RNAcentral's name for it is "bacterial LSU rRNA". It matches the Rfam family "Bacterial large subunit ribosomal RNA", at positions 2549 to 2925 of the family's 2925-position model. Lineage: Bacteria; Candidatus Falkowiibacteriota. The record is from RNAcentral.
GGGGGUGGAGAAGCUCCCAAGGGUUGGGCUGUUCGCCCAUUAAAGCGGCACGCGAGCUGGGUUCAGACCGUCGUAAGACAGGUCGGUCUCCUAUCCACUAUGGUCGUGGAAACUUGAAGAGGCCCUUCCUUAGUACGAGAGGACCGGGAAGGACGAAGCUCUAGUGUACCAACUGUUCUGCCAAGGGCAUUGCUGGGUAGCUACCUUCGGUUAUGAUAAGCGCUGAAAGCAUAUAAGCGCGAAGCUGUCUCUGAGAUUAGGUUUCAUAGAUUCCCUAGAGAAUAUAGGGUUGAUAGGCUCUAAGUGUAAGUCCAGUAAUGGAUUCAGCUGAGGAGUACUAAUAAAUCAUUUGAUUUU